AAAUUGAAGAGUUUGAUCAUGGCUCAGAUUGAACGCUGGCGGCAGGCCUAACACAUGCAAGUCGAACGGUAACAGGAAGCAGCUUGCUGCUUCGCUGACGAGUGGCGGACGGGUGAGUAAUGUCUGGGAAACUGCCUGAUGGAGGGGGAUAACUACUGGAAACGGUGGCUAAUACCGCAUAACGUCGCAAGACCAAAGAGGGGGACCUUCGGGCCUCUUGCCAUCAGAUGUGCCCAGAUGGGAUUAGCUAGUUGGUGAGGUAACGGCUCACCAAGGCGACGAUCCCUAGCUGGUCUGAGAGGAUGACCAGCCACACUGGAACUGAGACACGGUCCAGACUCCUACGGGAGGCAGCAGUGGGGAAUAUUGCACAAUGGGCGCAAGCCUGAUGCAGCCAUGCCGCGUGUAUGAAGAAGGCCUUCGGGUUGUAAAGUACUUUCAGCGGGGAGGAAGGUGUUGUGGUUAAUAACCACAGCAAUUGACGUUACCCGCAGAAGAAGCACCGGCUAACUCCGUGCCAGCAGCCGCGGUAAUACGGAGGGUGCAAGCGUUAAUCGGAAUUACUGGGCGUAAAGCGCACGCAGGCGGUCUGUCAAGUCGGAUGUGAAAUCCCCGGGCUCAACCUGGGAACUGCAUUCGAAACUGGCAGGCUUGAGUCUUGUAGAGGGGGUAGAAUUCCAGGUGUAGCGGUGAAAUGCGUAGAGAUCUGGAGGAAUACCGGUGGCGAAGGCGGCCCCCUGGACAAAGACUGACGCUCAGGUGCGAAAGCGUGGGGAGCAAACAGGAUUAGAUACCCUGGUAGUCCACGCCGUAAACGAUGUCUACUUGGAGGUUGUGCCCUUGAGGCGUGGCUUCCGGAGCUAACGCGUUAAGUAGACCGCCUGGGGAGUACGGCCGCAAGGUUAAAACUCAAAUGAAUUGACGGGGGCCCGCACAAGCGGUGGAGCAUGUGGUUUAAUUCGAUGCAACGCGAAGAACCUUACCUGGUCUUGACAUCCACAGAACUUUCCAGAGAUGGAUUGGUGCCUUCGGGAACUGUGAGACAGGUGCUGCAUGGCUGUCGUCAGCUCGUGUUGUGAAAUGUUGGGUUAAGUCCCGCAACGAGCGCAACCCUUAUCCUUUGUUGCCAGCGAUUAGGUCGGGAACUCAAAGGAGACUGCCAGUGAUAAACUGGAGGAAGGUGGGGAUGACGUCAAGUCAUCAUGGCCCUUACGACCAGGGCUACACACGUGCUACAAUGGCGCAUACAAAGAGAAGCGACCUCGCGAGAGCAAGCGGACCUCAUAAAGUGCGUCGUAGUCCGGAUUGGAGUCUGCAACUCGACUCCAUGAAGUCGGAAUCGCUAGUAAUCGUGGAUCAGAAUGCCACGGUGAAUACGUUCCCGGGCCUUGUACACACCGCCCGUCACACCAUGGGAGUGGGUUGCAAAAGAAGUAGGUAGCUUAACCUUCGGGAGGGCGCUUACCACUUUGUGAUUCAUGACUGGGGUGAAGUCGUAACAAGGUAACCGUAGGGGAACCUGCGGUUGGAUCACCUCCUUA
Molecule: ribosomal RNA, 1541 nt
Filed under: Salmonella enterica subsp. enterica serovar Newport
Lineage: Bacteria; Pseudomonadati; Pseudomonadota; Gammaproteobacteria; Enterobacterales; Enterobacteriaceae
Description: bacterial SSU rRNA
Rfam family: Bacterial small subunit ribosomal RNA
Source: RNAcentral